Molecule: ribosomal RNA, 239 nt
Filed under: uncultured bacterium
Lineage: Bacteria
Description: partial 16S ribosomal RNA
Rfam family: Bacterial small subunit ribosomal RNA
Source: RNAcentral
UGGAGCAAAACUAUAAAAGACGAUCUCAGUUCGGACUGCAGGCUGCAACUCGCCUGCACGAAGUUGGAAUUGCUAGUAAUCGUGGAUCAGCAUGCCACGGUGAAUACGUUCCCGGGUCUUGUACACACCGCCCGUCACACCAUGGGAGCCGGAAAUGCCCGAAGCCGGUGACCAAACCAAUAAGGAAGGAGCCGUCGAAGGCAGGUCUGAUAACUGGGGUGAAGUCGUAACAAGGUAUC